Molecule: ribosomal RNA, 1797 nt
Filed under: Triticum aestivum (bread wheat)
Lineage: Eukaryota; Viridiplantae; Streptophyta; Magnoliopsida; Poales; Poaceae
Description: partial small subunit ribosomal RNA
Source: RNAcentral
AUGGAGCAGGCUAUGCUGGCUAGGGUUUUGGCCGUUACUAGCGUUGGUUUGUCGUGGGCAGUAGUGUGGAGCCUCUUGUCGCAACAGCACAGGCCCUUCUCCACGCCCGCCAUCCUCAGGACCUUGGACGCCGCAGCCCCCGAUCCCGUCAUCGGCCGCGACGACAACAUCGACCGCAUCAUCUGCAUCCUCUGCCGCUGCACCAAGAACUGCGCCGCCCUUGUCGGCCCUGCCGGCGUUGGCAAGACGGCCAUCGUCGAGGGCCUCGCUCGGCGCAUUGCUGCUGGGACGGUCCCCGAAGCCCUUGCUGGGGCCCGCGUGGCGGAGCUCGACGCCGAGGAUUCUGCCGGCAAGCUCAUCCUCUUCAUCGACGAGAUGCACAUGAUUGUCGGUGCCGGCGAUCAUCGUGGCGGCACCGGCGACGCCGCCAACAUCCUCAAGCCCGCGUUGGCCCGUGGCCGCAUCCGUUGCAUAGGCGCCACCACAACCGAAGAGUACCGCAAAUACAUCCAGAAGGAUGCCGCGCUCGAGCGGCGCUUCCAAAGGGUUGACGUCGACGAGCCAACCCUGCAGGCGACCGUUGUCAUCCUGCAGGGGCUGAAGCAGCGCUACCAAGACUACCAUGGACUGAUAAUUCGCGACGACGCUCUGGUCACUGCUGCGCACCUCGCCGGCCGUUAUAUUACUGGUCGCCAGUUUCCUGAUAAAGCAAUUGAUCUGAUGGACGAGGCAUGCACUUCUGUGAAGUUGCAUCAACCAAAAAAGGUUAAAAACAAGAAAACUAGCACUGUAAAUGCAGUGGAGGAGCUAACCGUUGGUCCAUGCCAUAUUGCACAGGUUGUGAGCCGAUGGACUAAAAUUCCGAUCACUACACUUGGCCGAGAGGAAGAAAAGUUUAGCCACCUAGUAGACAGAUUGCAUGAGAGAGUCGUUGGACAGCAUGAAGCGGUUAAUUUGGUUGCACAAGAAGUGCUGCGUUCUAGGGUCAGCUUUGAUCAAUCUAGCCAACCAAUCGGUUCUUUUCUAUUUUUGGGGCCGACUGGCGUUGGGAAGACAGAGCUUGCGAAAGCACUUGCCGAGAAGCUGUUUGACAACAAGAAGACGUUACUCCGCUUUGACAUGUCUGAAUUUGCUGACAGUGGAUCUGUGGCGCGUCUCAUUGGAGGACCUCGAAGCUAUGAAGAAGAUGGACAGCUUACUGAUAAAGUAAGGAGCCAACCAUAUAGCGUUAUUCUUUUUGACGAGGCGGAUAAGGCGCAUCCCUCGAUAUUCAAGGUUCUCAUUCAACUCCUCGAUGACGGCGUGUUGAUUGAUGGAAAAGGACGGAGUGUAUAUUUCAAGAAUACUAUUAUCAUCAUGAGCUCAAAUCUAGGAGCAGAGAACUUGUCAGCUGGAAUGGCCGCAGAAAACAUGGAAACUGCACGGGAUCUUCUUAUGGAAAAGGUUGAGAAACGGUUCAAGCCUGAAUUUAUCAACAAACUGAGUGAGACUGUGAUAUUUGAGCCGCUUUCACAUGACGAACUGAGGGAGAUUGUGAAAAUCCAGAUGAAGAGUGUUGUUGCUAUGGCAGCUAACAAGGGCAUCUCUUUGUUUGCAUCAGAUGCUGCCUUGGACGUCAUUUGGUCAGAGUCGCACGACACGGUGUAUGGUGCAAGGCCUAUUAAGAGGUGGAUGAAGAAGAAUGUGACGAGAGUUCUCGUGGACAUGAUUGUCAGUGGAGAAGCAUGCCAAGGCUCGACCGUCUUCAUAGAUGCCGCCGAUGAUAGGAAGGGGCUGAAAUACCACGUACUGAAGUAG